CGGCCAGGAAUAGCCAUACAGUGAUACAAUGGCUAAGAAAUGAUGCUUACACAUCAAAAUGAAUCAACGCUAGUUCUGCGAAAGAAAAUCGCGUCAGCCAUGAUUUGCUGUACUUUAUUACAAGAUAUACCACGUUGAUUAGACAACGUCAAGUUCAAUAUUUUUAUAAAGGGAUUGUGUCACCUGGUAUGUCCAUAAAUAUAUAUAUUAUGCGCACGCUAUGUCAUAAUAGCUUGUCAGACGUAAUCAAUAUUCGCGAUUACACAGUUCGCAAAAUUUUUUUUUAAUCACGCUCUAAUUUUAUAUUCGGCGAUGAGUCAUACGAAUUUCUAUCGCUUCAAACUUUACAAUCUUUAGAUUUUGAUUGCAAUGCCAACAUAGAAAACAACUCGUAAACAUAUUUAUUACAAUUUACAAUUGACACCGAAUAAAUGUAUUUUACAAGCAAAAAUAUGGACGAAUCAGAGUUGAUAUUCUUAGCACGACAGUGCUGCCGUACAAAUAACAAAGGAGCAAAUGGAAGCCUAUAUAUUAUGAUAAUGACUGGUGCAAAAUAUUUUAGGCGACUACAUCCUCUUUCUCAUAUUAGAAAUGAGACAACUAUAGAGUACCAUUUGAAUCAAUAUCACGGAAAACACGUUCGCAACCUUGUCGGUUCGAUUAAAAUUAGAUAAGAGUUUUCUACGUCGCCGAAUGUGAUAUAUAGCAAUUGACGAAAGCCAUGAACUGUAUAGCAAAGAAAUAAUCCUAAUUCUUCCAAUUUGAAUGUUACAUUUUGGUAUUUGAAUGUUCAAAGGACUUGGAAUACCUUUUUUCUCUUCACAAAUGUAUCUAUUUAAACGUUGACCUAAUUAAAAUAAACAAGAAAAUGAUCGUCAAAUAUAACUGAACAAAUUAUAAAUGUGAGAA
Long non-coding RNA from Bombus pascuorum, 909 nucleotides. RefSeq lists it as uncharacterized. NCBI's taxonomy places the organism in Eukaryota, Metazoa, Arthropoda, Insecta, Hymenoptera, Apidae. The transcript is spliced from 3 exons. The record is from RefSeq and is a predicted model, not a curated record.